UGCCAGCAGCCGCGGUAAGACGAACCGUCCGAACGUUAUUCGGUAUCACUGGGCUUAAAGAGUUCGUAGGCGGCCAUGUAGGUCAGGUGUGAAAUCCCACAGCUCAACUGUGGAACUGCGCUUGAAACCACUUGGCUUGAGGGAGAUAGAGGUGAGCGGAACAGAUGGUGGAGCGGUGAAAUGCGUUGAUAUCAUCUGGAACACCGGUGGCGAAAGCGGCUCACUGGGUCUUUACUGACGCUGAGGCACGAAAGCUAGGGGAGCAAACAGGAUUAGAUA
RNAcentral lists this ribosomal RNA (279 nucleotides) under uncultured bacterium. RNAcentral describes it as "partial 16S ribosomal RNA". It matches the Rfam family "Bacterial small subunit ribosomal RNA", at positions 506 to 784 of the family's 1533-position model. The record is from RNAcentral.